AGCUGGUGUUGUGAAUCAGGCUGAAGCCGCAGUGCUCCAAACACUGGCCGUUUCACCACGCCAGCCCA
This 68-nucleotide microRNA precursor is filed under the name Petromyzon marinus (sea lamprey). The record is from RNAcentral. Lineage: Eukaryota; Metazoa; Chordata; Hyperoartia; Petromyzontiformes; Petromyzontidae.